CAGCACCCAACAUGGACAUGAGGACCCCUUCGCUGCUCCUGGGACUCCUGCUGCUCUGGCUCCCAGGUGCCAGAUGUGACAUCCAGAUGACCCAGUCUCCAGCCUCCCUGUCUGCAUCUCCAGGAGACACAGUCUCCCUCACUUGCCGGGCCAGUCAAGGCAUUAACAGUUGGUUAGCCUGGUUUCAGCAGAAACCAGGAAACGCUCCUAAGCGCCUGAUAUACAGAGCAUCCAAUUUAGGAUCAGGGGUCUCAUCCAGGUUCAAAGGCAGCGGGUCUGGGACAGAUUAUUCUCUCACCAUCAGCAGCCUGCAGCCUGAAGAUGCUGCCACUUAUUACUGUUUUCAGUAUGAUAAGUAUCCUCCCACAGUGGUACAAGUCAUAACAAUAACCUCCCAGGGAAGCAGAAGUGAGAGGCUGGGCUGCCCCAGCUGCUCCUCCUGGGGCCUCCACUGAUGACAGAGCUGCUCAGAUGCAGCCAGGAUCUGAAGGUCACUUGAAGGUGUUGAUAGAAGCAGUUGGGCAGAA
Molecule: non-coding RNA, 527 nt
Organism: Perognathus longimembris pacificus (Pacific pocket mouse)
Lineage: Eukaryota; Metazoa; Chordata; Mammalia; Rodentia; Heteromyidae
Source: the annotation of a RefSeq genome assembly